Molecule: long non-coding RNA, 1113 nt
Organism: Megalobrama amblycephala (Wuchang bream)
Lineage: Eukaryota; Metazoa; Chordata; Actinopteri; Cypriniformes; Xenocyprididae
Exons: 2
Source: RefSeq, a predicted model, not a curated record
AUCAAUGGGGCGAGCUGCUCUUCUUUAAAACAACAGCUUUGGCUAGUGUGUUUGCUUAGCAUAGCGUUCACAGGUAAAUUGCGUAAAUUGCAGCGGGAAAAUGAAAGAAAGAAAAUGUCCUCCAUGCAAAUCUACCAUUAAACUUCGCGCCUCUCGAGCCAAAACAACAACACGGUGGCGGCUGCCGAAAUGAAGAUGAAUGGGAGUUGUAGUUUUACACGGAACCAUCCCCUCAGCAGCGUCUUAUCUUUCUUUAACUAUAAAAACUACAUUUCCCAUGAACACCUCUCGGCACAGGUCUAACGUCCCCUGUGAGUGAAUUUUUUUAAGUAUUUCUUUUUGCGUUGUUGCUGAUUAGUUUAAUUUGUCGAUUCCGGCGUUUCAAUGUACUUUCCCAAUAAAUCAACUUGAUCGUAGAAUGAAAUAUUAGUUUUUACGCCUUUUUAUUUAUGCGCCCGCGCCGUUGACGUAACCGGUCAUUGCCAUAGAGACGAAACUACAACAAACACAGGCGUUUGAACGUCCACUCUUGCUGUAGAACUGUCAUAAUGUCAAAUCCUGAGCAUCAUCCGGUUCCAUGUGCUAAUCCUGGAAAUCCAGUCUUCUCCUGCAUGCACAAACCAGGAUCUCACUCAUCAGAUGAAGAUCCAGCAAUGGCCAGAUCUCAGAACCUGAUGUUUAAAACUACAUCCAGCGACUAUGGAGCUCGAUCAGCGACGUUUGAAUCCUCGCCCUGUUCCUAUCACCCCAUAUCCCAGACAUUCUCACAGCACCUCGGAUUGUGCGGGAUGUACCAGGACAAUUCCUUUAAUACCAGCUUGGACCACAGCCAUGUGUACAUCCCAAAUUACAAAACUCAAUUUCAGGGACAGUGACCAAACUCAUUUGCAUCUCUUUUUUGUGUUGCUUAAUUCAAGAUAGGCCUUGUUUUGUUGUUUUUGUAAUUGACCUUUCUGACCAUGAUGUACGUCAUGCUUGAUGGAUAUGGCUGUAAUAAACAUCCACUUAAAAAGCUGGGGGAAAAAAAGUUACAAGUGUACGAUGAAACAUUUCUGUAUUUAUGGUGUCACGUGACAAUUGUGAACCAGCAUUAAAAACAUACAUUUUUAUGUA